This 459-nucleotide ribosomal RNA is filed under the name uncultured bacterium. RNAcentral describes it as "partial 16S ribosomal RNA". It matches the Rfam family "Bacterial small subunit ribosomal RNA", at positions 338 to 795 of the family's 1533-position model. The record is from RNAcentral.
CCUACGGGUGGCAGCAGUGAGGAAUAUUGGUCAAGGACGAGAGUCCGAACCAGCCAAGUAGCGUGAAGGAUGACCGCCCUUUGGGUUGUAAACCUCUUUUAUAUUGGAAUAAAACAGGGUAUGCAUACCCUCUUGUAUGUACCAUAUGAAUAAAGAUCGGCUAACUCCGUGGCAGCAGCCGCGGUAAUACGGAGGGUCCGAGUGUUAUCCGGAUUUAUUGGGGUUAAAGGGAGCGUAGGUGGAUUGUUAAGUCAGUUGGUAAAGUUUGCGGGUUAACCGUAAAAUUGCAGUUGAAACUGGCAGUCUUGAGUACAGUAGAGGUGGGCGGAAUUCGUGGUGUAGCGGUGAAAUGCUUAGAUAUCACGAAGAACUCCGAUUGCGAAGGCAGCUCACUGGACUGCAACUGACACUGAUGCUCGAAAGUGUGGGUAUCAAACAGGAUUAGAUACCCGAGUAGUC